UUUUUUUUUACAGUCUAUGGUCGCAAUCCCAAGGUUCAUUGCGAUCCCAAGGUCCACUGCGGUUUUCCACGCGUCUGUUUCUGCCUAUCACAAUGAGUGAUUCAGAACUUCAAGAGCAACUUUUGAACCUUGAUAAUCGGAUUGAUCAAGAUUUCAAUUAUAAGCUCAAGUCUUGAUGACAACUUGGUGAUCUGCAGGAAGCAACUCCAGUAAAGACAACUGAACCAAGGGUAUGGUGGAGAAAGAGACACAUUGUGUAAGGAAGGCCAAGACCAAUCUGGAAUCAAUAAAGGCUCAUAGGAACUCCAAUCGUCCCAACUGUGAGAGGGCCUUGCUCCAGUGACUGUUGG
Danio aesculapii is the source of this 350-nucleotide long non-coding RNA. RefSeq lists it as uncharacterized. The record is from RefSeq and is a predicted model, not a curated record. The transcript has 3 exons. NCBI's taxonomy places the organism in Eukaryota, Metazoa, Chordata, Actinopteri, Cypriniformes, Danionidae.